UCUCUGUCUAAGGGGCAGGGCGGAAGAUCGAGCCUCAACGCUGCCCGACACCCGCGCUGGAUUUAAAGCCCGAGCUGUAGGCGUCUGUCUCCGCCGUGGCAGCGUUUUCUUGUCCUCUCCAGGGCUGGGAGAGUGCAGCGCUCCUCGUCCCCUUUCCUGGUGCAGGAAAGCGAGACCGCCUUCAGCCUUCUCUCUGCGCCUCCCCAGACCCUCAGCUCUCCAGUGAUUCUUAUGGCCCUGCACUGGGAGAGGGUCACCCAUUCAGCAAAAAGUCACCGAGGGCCCAAAAGGUUUUGCCAGAGAAAUAGGACGGCUGAAAAUGUUACCCUGAUGGUACACACGGAAUAACCCGUGAAACACAUUCCUGAUCUUCUCCAUGAUAUUUAUGGCGAUGAUGGUCUUCCCUGAGCCAGGAAACAGAAUGCCUCUCUUGAGUCCAUGGAACGCACAGAGGUCUCAGAUCUA
Molecule: long non-coding RNA, 465 nt
Organism: Pongo pygmaeus (Bornean orangutan)
Lineage: Eukaryota; Metazoa; Chordata; Mammalia; Primates; Hominidae
Exons: 3
Source: RefSeq, a predicted model, not a curated record